UAAUUUGCACCAGAAAAAGAUGGUGAAUACGGUGGUAAAAAAAUCACAUAAAAUGGGAAAUAGAAAGGGGGUCAUCAGAGAGGGUUUUGGGUUUUGGCUGCGGCGGCUCGACUGAACUUUGCCCACAGUUUUUGGCUCAUCUGUUGCCUCUUUUGCUCUGAUAUGGCCACAGAGAGGCUCGAGAUUGAAUUCUGAGUGGGAUGGAAAAAUUUUUACCAUUCUUGGAGGUCGGCGGUGGCUCCGAUGCAGCAGCAGCGAUGUCCUUCUGGCAAUUGGUCUUCCCUUUGGCAGCCUCCUUCUUCUUCUUCUUUAGUUGGGUGUCGGCUAAGGUUUGGGGUCGACUGAAGAGAGGUUUAAAUACCUCUAUUCUAUCUAAGUCGGACCGUCUGAUCACGUCUAAAAAAGAAAUGCAUCUGGGCCUUUCGUGCACACGGAAUGCGAUUUGGACCGUCGAAUCGCCUAGGCACACGGAUCGCCCAUGUGGCCUCCGAGAUUGGCAUCUCUGUCAAGUGGCUUUUUUGAUUUGCAAUGGCUGCUGACAUGGCUGUCCCACGUGGUCCUAUUUUUUCUUUUUGCGAUUUCACCUAUUGUUUUCAAUUUGUUUUUUAAAAACACCCCCUUAUUCAUAAUUUCACUCAUUUUCUCUAGAAUUAUUUCUAAUUUCGUCCAUAUUUUAUUUUUUUCAAUAAUUUAAAUAAAAUAAAAUAAAAAUAAAAUUUUAGUUAUUUAUAUUUAUAUUAUAUAAAUAGAAAAAUCAUCCCAGGUCAAAUUUUCGGAUCCGAGUGUUAUAAAAUAACUAUUCUUUGUGCUCAUAAAUUUUAACCAAGUUUUUUAUUUCUGCAUAAGAUUUAUGAUAAAAUGGUGACAUACAUAAAUGUGCUUUGGUUAUCUGUGGAAAAUAAAAUUUUAUCAUAAGGAUGGCAAUUAUCACAAUAAAUAAUUGUGACGUGUUAAUACACAAGGUUUUAUCAACUCAGUAUGCUCAUGAAUCUAGCCUAUGUGUAAUAGUUACUAGCUUUGAGCAACUAAGAGACCAUGAACAUACUUGAACUGUAACAGUCCGAACUCUCAUCUCGAGUGCAGAUCGUACGCACACCAUAAAUAAUAAAAUCAUCUGUAGAAAUAUUUUGUGCAACAAAUCUUAAAAUUAUAAAAGUACAUCCCUUGCAUAGUUAUCUUAAAAUAUCAAAUAUCCAUGAAAUAUGUCUAAACUCUUAAAUAAAUAUUUAUUACAAAGUAAAUAGUUAAUCUUAAGUACAAUUCGAAUUAAAAUAAAAAAUUAAACGAACUCCUAGCAAAUCUCUCACUAUUUAGGAGCUUAAUUUUGAUUAUCCUGAUNNNN
This 1342-nucleotide long non-coding RNA is filed under the name Carica papaya (papaya). Its description in RNAcentral is "long non-coding RNA (CPAP_LNC011624)". The record is from RNAcentral. Lineage: Eukaryota; Viridiplantae; Streptophyta; Magnoliopsida; Brassicales; Caricaceae.